Molecule: transfer RNA, 73 nt
Filed under: Ailuropoda melanoleuca (giant panda)
Lineage: Eukaryota; Metazoa; Chordata; Mammalia; Carnivora; Ursidae
Description: tRNA-Arg (CCT) (tRNA-Arg-CCT-11-1)
Source: RNAcentral
ACCUGGCUGGCUCAGUCAGAGGAGUUUGUGACUCCUAAUCUCAAGGUCAUGAGUUCGAGCCUCAUGUUGGGUG